CGCAGGAAGCAAGUUGAUCCCCUUCGGGGGUGACGCUUGUGGAAUGAGCGGCGGACGGGUGAGUAACACGUGGGCAACCUGCCUGUAAGACUGGGAUAACCCCGGGAAACCGGGGCUAAUACCGGAUAAUACUUUCUUUUGCAUAAAGGAAAGUUGAAAGGCGGCUUCGGCUGUCACUUACAGAUGGGCCCGCGGCGCAUUAGCUAGUUGGUGAGGUAACGGCUCACCAAGGCGACGAUGCGUAGCCGACCUGAGAGGGUGAUCGGCCACACUGGGACUGAGACACGGCCCAGACUCCUACGGGAGGCAGCAGUAGGGAAUCUUCCGCAAUGGACGAAAGUCUGACGGAGCAACGCCGCGUGAGUGAUGAAGGUUUUCGGAUCGUAAAACUCUGUUGUUAGGGAAGAACAAGUACGAUAGUAACUGAUCGUACCUUGACGGUACCUAACCAGAAAGCCACGGCUAACUACGUGCCAGCAGCCGCGGUAAUACGUAGGUGGCAAGCGUUGUCCGGAAUUAUUGGGCGUAAAGCGCUCGCAGGCGGUCCUUUAAGUCUGAUGUGAAAUCUCGCGGCUCAACCGCGAACGGUCAUUGGAAACUGGAGGACUUGAGUACAGAAGAGGAGAGUGGAAUUCCACGUGUAGCGGUGAAAUGCGUAGAGAUGUGGAGGAACACCAGUGGCGAAGGCGACUCUCUGGUCUGUAACUGACGCUGAGGAGCGAAAGCGUGGGGAGCGAACAGGAUUAGAUACCCUGGUAGUCCACGCCGUAAACGAUGAGUGCUAGGUGUUAGGGGGUUUCCGCCCCUUAGUGCUGAAGUUAACGCAUUAAGCACUCCGCCUGGGGAGUACGGCCGCAAGGCUGAAACUCAAAAGAAUUGACGGGGGCCCGCACAAGCGGUGGAGCAUGUGGUUUAAUUCGAAGCAACGCGAAGAACCUUACCAGGUCUUGACAUCCUCUGCCAUUCCUAGAGAUAGGAAGUUCCCUUCGGGGACAGAGUGACAGGUGGUGCAUGGUUGUCGUCAGCUCGUGUCGUGAGAUGUUGGGUUAAGUCCCGCAACGAGCGCAACCCUUGAUCUUAGUUGCCAGCAUUUAGUUGGGCACUCUAAGGUGACUGCCGGU
This 1121-nucleotide ribosomal RNA is filed under the name Oceanobacillus sp. H10(2015). RNAcentral describes it as "bacterial SSU rRNA". It matches the Rfam family "Bacterial small subunit ribosomal RNA", at positions 52 to 1156 of the family's 1533-position model. The record is from RNAcentral. Lineage: Bacteria; Bacillati; Bacillota; Bacilli; Caryophanales; Bacillaceae.